GCCCCUAUAGCUCAGUUGGUAGAGCAACUGAUUUGUAAUCAGUAGGUCCUGGGUUCGAGUCCUAGUGGGGGCA
This 73-nucleotide transfer RNA is filed under the name Roseitalea porphyridii. It matches the Rfam family "tRNA". Rfam says of the family: Transfer RNA (tRNA) molecules are approximately 80 nucleotides in length. Their secondary structure includes four short double-helical elements and three loops (D, anti-codon, and T loops). The record is from Rfam by way of RNAcentral. Lineage: Bacteria; Pseudomonadati; Pseudomonadota; Alphaproteobacteria; Hyphomicrobiales; Ahrensiaceae.